GAGCGACCAGAGGAAAGAAACAGGGACCAAACCCUAGUUCUUGAACUAUUUCAUCAAAUUCAGCCCUCAAAUCAAACGAUCCUGAAUGCAUGUAGCCGAAUUCAGCCCUCUAUAACAUCAUCUCUUCAUAAGGCAACUCGGGUGAAGCUUCGGGGAGUCAAGCUGGGGCAAAUAAAAGGUUGAAGGAAAAGCCAUAAGUUUUUAGGUAAUGCAAGCUCAUGGAUGAAGGUCAAGUCAAUGCUUCCGAACCGAACACAUCCAAGAUCUCAUUCCGCAACUUUUGUUAUUAUUAGUUGUUAAUGAAUCUAUUGUAA
This 314-nucleotide long non-coding RNA is filed under the name Helianthus annuus (common sunflower). RNAcentral describes it as "sRNA HanXRQr2_Chr02g0066631". The record is from RNAcentral. Lineage: Eukaryota; Viridiplantae; Streptophyta; Magnoliopsida; Asterales; Asteraceae.